UUAAUACAAAAGAUUGAGAAACUGAAAUAAUUCAUUAAUACAGUGCUCAACAUUCAGGGACCUUGUUUUGUUAAUUUAUAAUAAUUAAUUUUGUUAAUCUGAAAUGUACUAAUGUUUAUAAACAUCAUUAUUUCUCAAAAUUCCGAUUGCAAUAUUUUAAUUGAAAUAUUAUCUUUAAUUCUUUGUUUUGUAACUUAUAUACAAAGAUAUUAAGUUUGCAAUGUUCUACCUCGACCUUGAAACCUCUCUAGUUCGUUUUCCUUCUGGGGUCCAUGUGAGAACAACAGUUCUUUUGUCUCCAGUCAUUAUUUGUAAAAUAAUAAAUGCAAGUAGUAUUCAUUUAAAGACAACUGCAAGCUAAAAGCAGUGCAGCAAAUUUAAAAUACCAGUUUCUUUUAAUUGAUUAUUCAAUCUCUAAAAUUUUCUUUUUCUAGAAUGUUAUUUAAAUUGUUUGAGAGUUGGAGUAAAAUUUACAUUUUAAAUUCAGUAAAAUUUACAUCUCAUUGUUUUUUCUUUUCUUCCCAUGUUGGUAACUGCGCUUAUUUUUGCACUUAAUUUAAAAUAUUUGUUUCUUUCUUACCUAGAGUACGAAACUGUUGCCUUUCCUUUGAAGUAUUUUUGGGUGCUGAAGAUUACAAAUAGGAAGGAAUUGAUAUUGGUAUCACUGAUAGUCAAAAACAAGAAGCUAUCAGCCUACCUUAUGGAACCUGAAACAAAAGUUGAAUCUGUUGCUUUGGUUACUCAUUAUGAGCAACAAGAAGAUAUGGCCAGAGCUUUGGAACGAAGCACGAGAAUCAUAAACAAAUCAACCUGUGUGCAUGCAAGAUGAUUCAACCAAGCAAGCUACCAUGUCUGAUUACAAUUCUGUCUUCACUGUUUCAUCUGACUUACAUGAUUGUGCAUGAUGUAUCAAAACUUUACUCGUAGUCUAAAAAAUGUCGCUAGUAAAUUCUCCGUUCUUUGUUUCUCCAAUGUUGACAGGUUGAUGAGGACCUUGAAAACAAAGCUUUUUAUGCUGGGCAUGUGUUGGGUGCAGCAAUAUUUUUGAUAAAAGCAGGAUCCCAAUCAGUAGUCUACACAGUUUUAAUGAAAGACGUCAUGACUCUAGAAGAAGUUAGAGCAGUUUUUAAAAAAUGUUUAGAAAAUGCAGCACUCUCAAACUACGCUGGAAUAUCAGAACAAGCCAAAAUUGAAGGUUUACUAAAUAUAAAUACAGUCAAACUCCUCUAUAGUGAACUCCCGGAUAUAGUGAACGAAAUGUUCGGUCUCGUGCCUUGCUAUAUGUUGUUUUUUGUGGAUAUAGUGAACCGAAAAAGGGAGGAAAUUCGAUAUAGUGAACUUUUUUCUGUCUUCAACUGGUUUUCUUCUUCAUUAUUUUCUAAUUAUUUUGAAAUUUCUACUUCAAAAUAAAUACAUACACCGAUUUUUAAUACCAUCUAUUGAGGGGAAUGUAUCGAUAAGCAUUUUUUUCUUGUUUGCUUGUUUUAUCUCUUUAUAUCUUUGCUUCUUUACACUUUCCCAUCCCU
Parasteatoda tepidariorum (common house spider) is the source of this 1526-nucleotide non-coding RNA. The record is from RefSeq and is a predicted model, not a curated record. Lineage: Eukaryota; Metazoa; Arthropoda; Arachnida; Araneae; Theridiidae.